RNAcentral lists this small nuclear RNA (20 nucleotides) under Arabidopsis thaliana (thale cress). Its description in RNAcentral is "snRNA_03969". Lineage: Eukaryota; Viridiplantae; Streptophyta; Magnoliopsida; Brassicales; Brassicaceae. The record is from RNAcentral.
UUUCUAAAAUCUCUAUUAGA